Equus caballus (horse) is the source of this 994-nucleotide non-coding RNA. The record is from RefSeq and is a predicted model, not a curated record. Lineage: Eukaryota; Metazoa; Chordata; Mammalia; Perissodactyla; Equidae.
GGCAGCUCCGUCCCAGAGCCGAGGCCACAGCGCCCCCAGCCUGCGCGCCGGGUCCCUGCACCCGCGCCAGAGCCCGUGCCACGCCGGGCGGGCGCGGACCGCAGACGGCGGCUCCGGGGACCCAGAGCACCCGCUCUGGGGGCGACGCCUGAAAGAGCCGGACUGGGCGAGCGCAGCUUCUUCCCCAGCGCCAGCGACGGACACCAUCGCGGGGCUGGCCGGGGAGCCGCCUGAUUGCGCCGCGCGGGCAGGGCCGCCUGGGCUUCCCCCGAUGAGAUAAUCUAAGGACAGAGAUGUUGAAGUGCUCAAGUUCCACAAGCUGAACACAAGCAGGAUAACGGUGAAGUCCUUGCCUUGUCCAGAAGACAAAUGUCAUUAGCCAAGACAAGAGGAAGGAAUGCCUCUGCCACUACAGGGAAUGCCUCCCUCCAGACCAUCAUCAGUUAAGUGGCAACCUAUGGAGUUUCCUGUGACUCACAGCCAAAUGCAAAUUUGAACUGAUACUGUGUACUUCUGGUGGAGUUGACUUUACCCCAGACUCCAAGGGUCAGAAUGAGACUCAGGAAAUUUCCUCUGGGCAGUUGACCCAACAACGUCCAAGAGAAUGUAGUAAUUCUUUUGCUGGAAUAACUGGCCAAGAGCCAGUCAUGUCUUCUCCUACUGAAUGUAAACAAAAGAAGGAUAUGGGGCCUCUGGAGCUGCCUCCUGUCCCCUUGCAGGAAGAAAUAGCAUCAUUUGGCUCCUUCUCUCUGCUCUCUCCCACAUCUCCAUUGCUCUGACUCAUCCUCUGUGUAUCAUCUGGGACUUUGAUUUCAGAUCUUUAUGGUAUGCAUCCCCUUUCCUCAUUCCUUCUGGCAUUAUAAGUAAGUUUCACAAAUAUUUAUAUGAGUGGUGGUGGUGAUGGUGAUAGUGAUGAGUUUGGUUUUCUUUUAUAUGUUAUGGAGUUUUAUUUUGUUUCUGUUGAUUCACCAUUGCUUCUUUUAUCCAACCUUCU